Long non-coding RNA from Dreissena polymorpha, 813 nucleotides. RefSeq lists it as uncharacterized. The record is from RefSeq and is a predicted model, not a curated record. NCBI's taxonomy places the organism in Eukaryota, Metazoa, Mollusca, Bivalvia, Myida, Dreissenidae. The transcript is spliced from 3 exons.
GAUCUUUACCCCGCCUUCUUCCGAAGUCAAGAAGAGCAAAGCGUGUUCAAUGCAUCGUUCCAGCAGUCUUUUUACUUCAAUAGAACGGUUAUACAACCGACCGUGAAAAGUACUCAAUCAUGUUCAUUCGCGUGUGUUAACCCAGCACCGGCAAGACGAAAACGGCAGAGUACUAUAGGAGUACAGCAUGGAUGUUGUACAUCCAGUGCCGCGUUCCAUGCCCCAACAAAUCACCCGAACCUUCAAGGACAGGUUCGCACAUUUCUGCAGUACGAGAACAAGAAGCAGUUUUUCACCGUUCAUUUAUGCACGGCGUUGAUUGGUUGCACAGGGUGUGUGUGUUCUCAAGAAAAUAAUUUGGCACCAGCCGUGGUUGUGAAAUUCGGAGUUCAAGAGGUGGAUGAACUGCAAGACACGGAGAUAGACUAUUUCUACUUCGCUGGCUGCUGCAAAUGUGUCAACGAUUAAUAACUUUCUUGUGAAUAAAAUGUGUUCAUCAAGAUAUCGCAAGGCAUAUUUGUCCUUGAUGCCCAUUGAACUUUUAAGUUUUCCUUUGUAAUGUGUGUUACAAAUAAUUUAUCCUCGGCUACUUAAGCUUUGUUGCAAACGUAUCAUCCAACGAUAAAUUAAGUCUUAAUCUGACUGAGAUAAGUGAAAGUACACGAGAAUCAGUUCCUGCUGUGUUAUUCAUUAAACAUCUGGAAACGUGUAAGAAUUACAGUUUAACAAAUACACGACAUGGUGUGUUAUUCUAACAGAUUACGCGUAACUAAAAAUUAGUAUAUGUUUAAUAUCUGAUCAUGUACAGCAAUC